UACGUUGGUGGCGACCGGCGCACGGGUGAGUAACGCGUAUCGCAACCUACCGUAUCAGAGGGGGAAUAACCCGGCGAAAGUCGGACUAAUACCGCAUAAAACAGGGACACCGCAUGGUGAUAUUUGUUAAAGAAAUUCGCUGAUAGAUGGGCAUGCGUUCCAUUAGGUAGUUGGUGAGGUAACGGCUCACCAAGCCGACGAUGGAUAGGGGAACUGAGAGGUUGGUCCCCCACACUGGUACUGAGACACGGACCAGACUCCUACGGGAGGCAGCAGUGAGGAAUAUUGGUCAAUGGGCGAGAGCCUGAACCAGCCAAGUCGCGUGAAGGAAGAAGGAUCUAUGGUUCGUAAACUUCUUUUGCAGGGGAAUAAAGUGCAGGACGUGUCCUGUUUUGUACGUACCCUGAGAAUAAGGAUCGGCUAACUCCGUGCCAGCAGCGGC
RNAcentral lists this ribosomal RNA (442 nucleotides) under uncultured bacterium. RNAcentral describes it as "bacterial SSU rRNA". It matches the Rfam family "Bacterial small subunit ribosomal RNA", at positions 81 to 518 of the family's 1533-position model. The record is from RNAcentral.